GAGUUUGAUCGUGGCUCAGAUUGAACGCUGGCGGCAUGCCUUACACAUGCAAGUCGAACGGCAGCACGGGAGCUUGCUCCUGGUGGCGAGUGGCGAACGGGUGAGUAAUGCAUCGGAACGUAUCCUGGAGUGGGGGAUAACGUAGCGAAAGUUACGCUAAUACCGCAUAUUCUGUGAGCAGGAAAGCGGGGGACCUUCGGGGCCUCGCGCUCUUGGAGCGGCCGAUGUCGGAUUAGCUAGUUGGUGAGGUAAAGGCUCACCAAGGCGACGAUCCGUAGCAGGUCUGAGAGGAUGAUCUGCCACACUGGAACUGAGACACGGUCCAGACUCCUACGGGAGGCAGCAGUGGGGAAUUUUGGACAAUGGGGGCAACCCUGAUCCAGCCAUGCCGCGUGAGUGAAGAAGGCCU
Molecule: ribosomal RNA, 409 nt
Filed under: bacterium enrichment culture clone ALO1_GLFRUDD03GMW9W
Lineage: Bacteria
Also listed under: 1 other name
Description: bacterial SSU rRNA
Rfam family: Bacterial small subunit ribosomal RNA
Source: RNAcentral